Molecule: ribosomal RNA, 254 nt
Filed under: uncultured bacterium
Lineage: Bacteria
Description: partial 16S ribosomal RNA
Rfam family: Bacterial small subunit ribosomal RNA
Source: RNAcentral
UACGUAGGGUGCAAGCGUUUGUCCGGAAUUAUUGGGCGUAAAGAGCUCGUAGGCGGUUUGUCGCGUCUGCUGUGAAAACCCGCAGCUCAACUGUGGGCUUGCAGCUGAUACGGGCGGGCUGGGAUUCGGUAGGGGAGACUGGAAUUCCUGGUGUAGCGGUGAAAUGCGCAGAUAUCAGGAGGAACACCGGUGGCGAAGGCGGGUCUCUGGGCCGAUAUCGACGCUGAGGAGCGAAAGCGUGGGGAGCGAACAGG